GGGGUCUUGGGGCACGUGAAAUAAACGGAACCUAUUCACCCCAAGUCCCGUGCCACCUCCAUCUGUCCCCGCGCCGAUAACCGGGACAGCAGAGCUUUCGCAGGGGGACCGGCCGCCCGUUCUCUUCCAUCGCCGCCCAACACGCCCACGCUCGGGGUGUCCCGGUGAAAGGGGACUGCAAUGCAACAAAUGGUAGCAGAGGAUGGUUCCCUCCUUCGUCUUGUAAAACAAACGGGCAAAUUCGUGGGGGCGCCCGCCUCACGGAAGAAGAAGGAGGGAAGAGGAACAUCUGCGGUCGUAGAAGCUUUGCCGGACGCUAAGAGGAGCCAAGUGCCGAGCGAAAAGAAUUCGGCUCCGGGACCCUCCUUUGUUCUCGCCUCCGUGCGCUCCACCCCACCCCUGCUGAGAUCAGCCGUACUGCACUGGGGCAGACAUGCUGCAGGGGCUUUGAAGGGGGGGUAGACCUACUCCAGAACAAGGAGGGCGGUUUGGCAGCGGCUCAAGGGAGCCCGAAGGACGGCGAGUCAGGGGACAGCACUUGAACGUGACCACCAGAGGCCGAUAGUGGUCGAGCCCAACGCUUCAGGGACAAGUUUUGGGUGCAGCCGAGAUCGGCUGGACUUGCCUGCAAGUCCCGGGAACACCUAAGCCUCUGGAAGAGCCAAACCUAGAAGGAACGUCCCCAGUUCGGCGCGACUUUUCCACCAAGUCGAGGAGAAGAAUCAAGCCAUCUCCACCCGGGCCCCAGAGGGUAAGGUGGGCUAGACGGGGUGGGGUCCAUCCCGCCGGGUGGCUGGGUUUCCCAUUUUUUCUUUUUGCGUUUUAACCCUCGCUCGUGCUCAGACGGGAGCUGUAUUCUUGCAUGUGCCCGGUGGGCGAGUGGGUUUUUCGUUUCUGGGGGGGAGGUCCCAGGUACUCCCCACCUAGUCUUUUAUGGGGACCCAUAUUUGAUUGCUUUUUCUUCCCCUCGAAAAGUCGUCUUCUCUAUCCUUUCCUCCCCAAUCUGGGCUGGACGGAGGGGGUAGAAAAGACACAAACGGGACAAAUGUUUGAAAGGCGGCAUGUUAACUAUAGGAGGGUUGGUAAGAGAAGCCCUGUACACCCACGCAUUGUGUCGACAUCCAGCUGUGUCGGGCUCCUCUCCUGUAAAUUCCCCUUUUGCUUCUGUGAAGCUCCCCAGAUCCCCUUGCCCUCGGAUUUUCCUAAACUUUUCCCUGUCUUCCCUUGGGGAUGGCUUGCACCCGGCACCCCCUUACAAGAUGGCGCUGGCCACGCCACUUGGAUCCUACUUAACCGCGCUGAUCCUUCUCUUUCACCCCCCGGUUUCCUGCCAGCCCCACCCUCUCCCCAAGGGCCCCGACAAUCAAAAUUGCCGUGUGGCUAGUCCCUGUGGGGGGGAGGCGGGGUUGGAUAUUCCCUAAUCCUUCUUCUGGCCCUUCCUCUGGUGGGACGGAUCGCUGUUGAGGACCUCCCAUCAGAGGACCCCCCUUCUUAGAAGAUCACUCCCCUUCUCGGGGGGGGGGGUCUCCUUUGAGGGAGAGCGGGGCGAAAACCCCAGACUGGAAACCGCCAUUUUGUCUUCCCCCUGAGAUGGCGGCACCCUGGUCCACCCCUUACCGAUUCCCCUUAUCAAUCAUGACAGUCACUAAUCAAGUGAUUGUCUGAUUCCCCUGUCCCAUUCCUUAAUGCACCCUACCCAAUGUUCCCUUUUAUUUAAUAAUCUACUUGUUGAGUUAUAUUUUAUAGAAAGAAAGAUCAUGCUAUUUAGUUUAUACCCACGGUAUUAUGCCCACUCCGGAAAUAAAGAAUAAAAUCAGACAAGCCAUGUCGCUGCUCGCUGCUUCAACUCCGCUAUACAUCUCCAGUGCCGCGACAGCCCAAGUUUCGAAUCAGAUCAAGCUGUGAAUCCUGCUAAAUGUUUUACCCUGAAUUCAGGAUUUGUUUAUGUCAAUUUUAUACGCUUUGUAUAUUAAUUUGUUUUAUUGUAAUUAUAACUAAUUUGUACUUUUCUGAUGUUUUUCAACUUAUUUCUGUUUAAUAAUUUGUAAUGUUACUAUAUGAUUUUGUUGUAUUUUAUAUAUGAGGUUUAUAUUGUUUAUAUGCAGUAUUUGUUUAAUGUCCAAGAUUAAAAAAAGAACGGUUUCCUAUUUACCAUCUGAGUAGGAGUUGCCUUGAGGCAGUUUUCCUUAUCUGCUGUUAAUAGCCCCAUCAAUGCCUUGCUACAUGACUCAGAGAUAACACUGUCCAGGAGCAGGUGAUUAAGGACACACCUCGUGACUCAUAAUGACCCAUUGUGAGAUGCUCUGCACAGGGGGGAGGAGCUAGGCAUUCCAACCUGGAUAAAACUGGGGUUUUCUAGACAGAGGGUCAGCCUUUUCACAGGUUCUCCGAGAAGACACAGCAACUACAUCUGCCAUCCCAUGAGGACUGCAGCUACUCCAAUUUGGACUGCUACCAGCACGCUGGCCAGGUUGUAUUCUGACUUUGUCAGUAGUCUUUCCCUUUGUAUUAUUGCAUGUAUUUUUUGUCCUUUUCCCCUUUUCCCAAUAAAUUGUAUUUCUGA
Long non-coding RNA from Taeniopygia guttata (zebra finch), 2563 nucleotides. The record is from Ensembl. NCBI's taxonomy places the organism in Eukaryota, Metazoa, Chordata, Aves, Passeriformes, Estrildidae.